This 806-nucleotide ribosomal RNA is filed under the name uncultured bacterium. RNAcentral's name for it is "bacterial SSU rRNA". It matches the Rfam family "Bacterial small subunit ribosomal RNA", at positions 61 to 864 of the family's 1533-position model. The record is from RNAcentral.
GUCGAGCGAGAAGACGUAGCAAUACGUUUGUAAAGCGGCGAACGGGUGAGGAAUACAUGGGUAACCUACCCUCGAGUGGGGAAUAACUAGCCGAAAGGUUAGCUAAUACCGCGUACGCUCCUUGGACUUCGGUUCAGGGAGGAAAGCGAUACCGUGGGUAUCGCGCUCUUGGUUGGGCUCAUGUCCUAUCAGCUUGUUGGUGAGGUAACGGCUCACCAAGGCUUCGACGGGUAGCUGGUCUGAGAGGACGAUCAGCCACACUGGCACUGCGACACGGGCCAGACUCCUACGGGAGGCAGCAGUGAGGAAUAUUGCGCAAUGGGCGAAAGCCUGACGCAGCGACGCCGCGUGGGGGAUGAAGGUCUUCGGAUUGUAAACCCCUUUCGGGAGGGAAGAUGGGACGGGCAACCGUCCGGACGGUACCUCCAGAAGCAGCCACGGCUAACUUCGUGCCAGCAGCCGCGGUAAUACGAAGGUGGCAAGCGUUGUUCGGAUUUACUGGGCGUACAGGGAGCGUAGGCGGUUUGGUAAGCCCUUCGUGAAAUCUCCAGGCUUAACCUGGAAAGGUCGGAGGGGACUGCCUGGCUAGAGGACGGGAGAGGAGCGCGGAAUUCCCGGUGUAGCGGUGAAAUGCGUAGAGAUCGGGAGGAAGGCCGGUGGCGAAGGCGGCGCUCUGGAACGUUCCUGACGCUGAGGCUCGAAAGCGUGGGGAGCAAACAGGAUUAGAUACCCUGGUAGUCCACGCCCUAAACGAUGGACACUAAGUGUCGGCGGGUUACCGCCGGUGCCGCAGCUAACGCAGUAAG